CCUACGGGGGGCAGCAGUGAGGAAUAUUGGUCAAUGGGCGCGAGCCUGAACCAGCCAAGUAGCGUGAAGGAUGACUGCCCUACGGGUUGUAAACUUCUUUUAUAAAGGAAUAAAGUGAGGCACGUGCUCCUUUUUGUAUGUACUUUAUGAAUAAGGAUCGGCUAACUCCGUGCCAUCAGCCGCGGUAAUACGGAGGAUCCGAGCGUUAUCCGGAUUUAUUGGGUUUAAAGGGAGCGUAGAUGGGUUGUUAAGUCAGUUGUGAAAGUUUGCGGCUCAACCGUAAAAUUGCAAUUGAUACUGGCAGUCUUGAGUACAGUUGAGGUAGGCGGAAUUCGUGGUGUAGCGGUGAAAUGCUUAGAUAUCACGAAGAACUCCGAUUGCGAAGGCAGCUUACUAAACUGCCACUGACAUUGAUGCUCGAAAGUGUGGGUAUCAAACAGGAUUAGAUACCCCAGUAGUC
This 460-nucleotide ribosomal RNA is filed under the name uncultured bacterium. RNAcentral's name for it is "partial 16S ribosomal RNA". It matches the Rfam family "Bacterial small subunit ribosomal RNA", at positions 338 to 795 of the family's 1533-position model. The record is from RNAcentral.